ACAGCAGGCCGCCUUAUCGUCGAGAUUCCCGCCUUCGCGAGGAUUUGGGAGGAAAGUCCGGACACCAUAGGGAAGCAUAACGGCUAACAGCCGUCGGGAUCCCCGCCUUAGCGGAGAUUUCAGGACAAGUGCAGCAGAAAGGAUGUACAGGUAAUGCUGUAGUGAAAUCAGGUAAACUCUAUGCGGUGAAAUGCCACGUAAACCUGUGCUUGAGGGUUCCCGCCCGAUGCAGGAGGGUAGGCAGAUUGAGCGUUUCGGUAACGGAACGUCUAGAUAAAUGAUAAGGUACCGAACUAGCUUCGGUAACAGAACCCGGCUUAUAGGCCUGCUUUUUUU
This 336-nucleotide RNase P RNA is filed under the name Aequorivita viscosa. RNAcentral describes it as "Aequorivita sp. 8-1b Bacterial RNase P class A". It matches the Rfam family "Bacterial RNase P class A". From Rfam's summary of the family: Ribonuclease P (RNase P) is a ubiquitous endoribonuclease, found in archaea, bacteria and eukarya as well as chloroplasts and mitochondria. Its best characterised activity is the generation of mature 5'-ends of tRNAs by cleaving the 5'-leader elements of precursor-tRNAs. Lineage: Bacteria; Pseudomonadati; Bacteroidota; Flavobacteriia; Flavobacteriales; Flavobacteriaceae. The record is from Rfam by way of RNAcentral.